AAAAUUUUGAGUUGCUUUUACAGUAGGGAGGCUUACCGCCACAGUAAGUACCACCAUCAUAGCCACCAUUAGGUUACUAGUUGUUUUUGAUUUGUUCUGUGCUCUCAGAUUGUCCUCUGCAUCUGUGCCAGUUUCCUGAUUUGUCCCCAUGUUGGAGGGUCUGCCUGGAUAAGCCGUAUCUUUUUCUGAGGCCUGCAGCAUUAAGAUGGGUUAAGGAAUGGAACGUUUGUGCAUCGGCAAAAGCUGCAGAAACCAGUGCAUCCGCCCUUUGAUUAAGUUAAAAGGACCAGGGAGGUUAGUAUGUGCUCUCAUAUGAGUAAUAUAGAAAG
This 329-nucleotide long non-coding RNA is filed under the name Homo sapiens (human). Its description in RNAcentral is "HSALNT0262972". Lineage: Eukaryota; Metazoa; Chordata; Mammalia; Primates; Hominidae. The record is from RNAcentral.